GAUGAACGCUGGCGGCGUGCUUAACACAUGCAAGUCGAACGAAGCACUUUAUUUGAUUUUCUUCGGAAAUGAAGAUUUUGUGACUGAGUGGCGGACGGGUGAGUAACGCGUGGAUAACCUGCCUCAUACAGGGGGAUAACAGCCGGAAACGGCUGCUAAUACCGCAUAAGCGCACGGUACCGCAUGGUACAGUGUGAAAAACUCCGGUGGUAUGGGAUGGAUCCGCGUCUGAUUAGCCAGUUGGCGGGGUAACGGCCCACCAAAGCGACGAUCAGUAGCCGACCUGAGAGGGUGACCGGCCACAUUGGGACUGAGACCACGGCCCAAAACUCCCUACGGGGAGGCAGCAGUGGGGGAAUAUUGCACAAUGGGGGAAACCCUGAUGCAGCGACGCCGCGUGAGGGAAGACGGUUUUCGGAUUGUAAACUUCUUUUAUUAAGGACGAAAAAAUGACGGUACUUAAUGAAUAAGCUCCGGCUAACUACGUAGCCAGCAG
Molecule: ribosomal RNA, 496 nt
Filed under: uncultured bacterium
Lineage: Bacteria
Description: bacterial SSU rRNA
Rfam family: Bacterial small subunit ribosomal RNA
Source: RNAcentral